UACGUAGGGAGCAAGCGUUGUCCGGAAUCAUUGGGCGUAAAGCGCGCGUAGGUGGCCCCAUAAGUCCGCUGUGAAAGUCAAAGGCUCAACCUUUGAAAGCCGGUGGAUACUGUGGGACUAGAGUACGGAAGAGGCGAGUGGAAUUCCUGGUGUAGCGGUGGAAUGCGCAGGAUAUCAGGAGGAACACCAAUAGCGAAGGCAGCUCGCUGGGACGUUACUGACACUGAGGCGCGAAAGCGUGGGGAGCGAACAGGAUUAGAUACCCGGUGUAAGCUCCA
This 278-nucleotide ribosomal RNA is filed under the name uncultured bacterium. RNAcentral's name for it is "partial 16S ribosomal RNA". It matches the Rfam family "Bacterial small subunit ribosomal RNA", at positions 524 to 797 of the family's 1533-position model. The record is from RNAcentral.